This 127-nucleotide small RNA is filed under the name Marmota monax (woodchuck). Lineage: Eukaryota; Metazoa; Chordata; Mammalia; Rodentia; Sciuridae. The record is from RNAcentral.
GCUGAGUAUGGUGUUGCACAUUUGUAAUCCUAGCCGCUUGGGAGGCUGAGGCAGGAGGAUCUUGAGUUCAGAGCCAGCCUCAGCAACUAAGCAAGGCCCUAAGCAACUCAACAAGACCCUGUCUCUA